GUUCCUACGGGGCGCAGCAGUGGGGAAUAUUGCACAAUGGGGGAAACCCUGAUGCAGCGACGCCGCGUGAGCGAAGAAGUAUUUCGGUAUGUAAAGCUCUAUCAGCAGGGAAGAAAAAUGACGGUACCUGAGUAAGAAGCACCGGCUAAAUACGUGCCAGCAGCCGCGGUACUACGUAGGGGGCAAGCGUUAUCCGGAUUUACUGGGUGUAAAGGGGGCGUAGGUGGCAGGGCAAGUCAGAUGUGAAAGCCCGGGGCUC
RNAcentral lists this ribosomal RNA (259 nucleotides) under uncultured bacterium. Its description in RNAcentral is "partial 16S ribosomal RNA". It matches the Rfam family "Bacterial small subunit ribosomal RNA", at positions 335 to 610 of the family's 1533-position model. The record is from RNAcentral.